AUGUGGGUCUGUGAUUUUGAGAU
Molecule: small nuclear RNA, 23 nt
Filed under: Arabidopsis thaliana (thale cress)
Lineage: Eukaryota; Viridiplantae; Streptophyta; Magnoliopsida; Brassicales; Brassicaceae
Description: snRNA_16240
Source: RNAcentral